RNAcentral lists this ribosomal RNA (392 nucleotides) under uncultured bacterium. Its description in RNAcentral is "bacterial SSU rRNA". It matches the Rfam family "Bacterial small subunit ribosomal RNA", at positions 350 to 751 of the family's 1533-position model. The record is from RNAcentral.
UGCAGUCGAGAAUCUUCGGCAAUGGGCGCAAGCCUGACCGAGCGACGCCGCGUGGAGGACGAAGGCCUUCGGGUUGUAAACUCCUGUCGAGGGGGAAGAAGCCGCAAGGUUGACUGAUCCCUGGAGGAAGCACGGGCUAAGUUCGUGCCAGCAGCCGCGGUAAGACGAACCGUGCGAACGUUAUUCGGAAUCACUGGGCUUAAAGCGCGUGUAGGCGGAUCGGCACGUCGGUCGCUGAAAUCCCCCGGCUUAACCGGGGAACGGGCGCCGAAACGACCGGUCUGGAGGAACGUAGGGGGAGCUGGAACUUCCGGUGGAGCGGUGAAAUGCGUUGAGAUCGGAAGGAACGCCCGUGGCGAAAGCGAGCUCCUGGACGUUUUCUGACGCUGAGA